AUUGAACGCUGGCGGCAGGCCUAACACAUGCAAGUCGAACGGUAACAGGAAGCAGCUUGCUGCUUCGCUGACGAGUGGCGGACGGGUGAGUAAUGUCUGGGAAACUGCCUGAUGGAGGGGGAUAACUACUGGAAACGGUAGCUAAUACCGCAUAACGUCGCAAGACCAAAGAGGGGGACCUUAGGGCCUCUUGCCAUCGGAUGUGCCCAGAUGGGAUUAGCUAGUAGGUGGGGUAACGGCUCACCUAGGCGACGAUCCCUAGCUGGUCUGAGAGGAUGACCAGCCACACUGGAACUGAGACACGGUCCAGACUCCUAAGGGAGGCAGCAGUGGGGAAUAUUGCACAAUGGGCGCAAGCCUGAUGCAGACAUGCCGCGUGUAUGAAGAAGGCCUUCGGGUUGUAAAGUACUUUCAGCGGGGAGGAAGGGAGUAAAGUUAAUACCUUUGCUCAUUGACGUUACCCGCAGAAGAAGCGCCGGCUAACUCCGUG
Molecule: ribosomal RNA, 490 nt
Filed under: uncultured bacterium
Lineage: Bacteria
Description: partial 16S ribosomal RNA
Rfam family: Bacterial small subunit ribosomal RNA
Source: RNAcentral